RNAcentral lists this ribosomal RNA (460 nucleotides) under uncultured bacterium. RNAcentral describes it as "partial 16S ribosomal RNA". It matches the Rfam family "Bacterial small subunit ribosomal RNA", at positions 338 to 795 of the family's 1533-position model. The record is from RNAcentral.
CCUACGGGUGGCAGCAGUGAGGAAUAUUGGUCAAUGGUCGGGAGACUGAACCAGCCAAGCCGCGUGAGGGAGGAAGGUACAGAGUAUCGUAAACCUCUUUUGUCAGGGAACAAAGGCGGGGACGUGUCUCCGGAUGAGAGUAUCGGAAGAAAAAGCAUCGGCUAACUCCGUGCCAGCAGCCGCGGUAAUACGGAGGAUGCAAGCGUUAUCCGGAUUUAUUGGGUUUAAAGGGUGCGGAGGCGGUCGGAUAAGUCAGGGGUCAAAUCCCGGGGCUCAACCUCGGCCCCGCCGUUGAUACUGGCCGGCUAGAGAGGGAGAGCAGUAUGCGGAAUGCGCGGUGUAGCGGUGAAAUGCAUAGAUAUCGCGCAGAACUCCGAUUGCGAAGGCAGCAUGCCGGCUCCCCACUGACGUUGAGGCACGAAAGUGUGGGUAUCGAACAGGAUUAGAUACCCGAGUAGUC